GCAAAGAGGUCGGUGAUUUACCAUUGGAAAAACAGCUUGUACUGGAGAUUGAAUGCUAAAACCAUCUGGUGAUAACAUGUUGAAUACAGCUGGGCAGGGCAUGACAUGCAAGGUGCAUUUGGGGCUGAGGGGGCAUACCACAGGUAUAUGAGGCUAGUAUUGUGUGGGUCCAGAUAUGAAGUCGGCAGGGCUGUUUGCAGGGACUGGGUUCGGUAAGCCGGAUUCGGGAGGUCUGCCAUGGGAGAGGGAUGGUAACUCGGAAAGCUGCUUGUUUGGUCAGUUAGGACAGGU
This is a non-coding RNA of Pelobates cultripes (western spadefoot toad), 291 nucleotides long. The record is from the annotation of a GenBank genome assembly. NCBI's taxonomy places the organism in Eukaryota, Metazoa, Chordata, Amphibia, Anura, Pelobatidae.